GAAAAGGGAGACACGUUGAUCAAUUGAUAGAUGGCGAAGUAUCUCUCAAGUUGCAAGAUCCAAUCGUUGGGAUCUUUAUCAUCGAAGGUAGGCAUGUCUAUCUUCUUAUGGCGGUAUUCAUAACGCCCUCCACCUCUUCCUCCCUCGUUUUGGUUGACGGUUCCAAAGACGAGACUACUUCCGUUAAAGCCUAAACCUCCUUGACUGGCGCCGCCCUGAUCGGAGCCUCCAUGACCGGAAUCACCCUGGCCAGAUCCCGCAGCUACAGUGCUUCCCAAGCCUUUGUUCUUGUUUUGCUGGUGCCCGGUGGGAGUGUGAUACAACCCAGCUCAAAGUGUACACAAGGAGGCCAAAACGGGUCAAACCUCGUGACCCGAAAUCAAUUGAACAGGAGUAAUUCAAUGCCAUUUUUGGGAUUUGGUUAGAACCAUUGGGUCAACAAAGCAACGAGAUAAUGGAAAGGCGGGGGGCAGUUAACAAGCUAGUUUCUAGGAGCAGUUACUGAUCAUUCCAAGUGUUAAUUAGCAGGCUACGUUUCAAUUGUUUUUCAGUUCAAUCAUUUUAUCAUUUGUUUGUUUGUAUUGGAGACUUUGCCCCUCUCGAGUCGGUCCCUUUAAUUUUAUCUAAUUAUUUAAUGCUUGCUGUAAUUCUGAGAUCCUAUCAGAGUGAUAAGGAGAGAAACUUUAUUCUAUCUUCGUUAUCUCUUCAUUCAUAUUCUUCUCUUUCGCUCGAAUGGCUAAUCUACAUCCUGCUCUUACAGUUACCAAUAUCAGGAAUUUCAUUCCCAUUGUGUUGGACCAUGAUGAUGGGCAAUACACAUCAUGGGUGGAAUUCUUCAAGAUCCACUGUCACGCCCAUGACAUAAUCAAUCACAUCAUUCCCGCUGAAGGAUCUUCAUCUAAAUCACCCGGUGAUAAAGAUAAAGAAAAGAUUGACGAGAAAUUUCCAUAGAAACGAUUAGAUUCUUUAGUUCUACAAUGGAUUUACAGUACAAUCUAUAAGGAUUUACUAAUUACCAUUCUCAAGCCAGACUCUACUGCUGAACGGGCAUGGAAAGCCUUGGAGAAUAUACUUGGAAAACCAGUUCUUUAAUGUUCGGUGGGAAUCUUUUCCCAAUGUUUCUGCCUAGUGUCAAGAGUUAAAAACUCUCUCUGACCAACUCUCAAACGUUGAUGCACCUGUUUCCAAGGAUCGGUUGGUGCUACAAUUAAUUGUUGUUCUUGGUGAAAAAUAUGAAAACAUAGCAACACACUUGCAACAAACCUCUCCCCUGCCUGAUUUUUAUAUAGCAAGGUCCAAAUUCAUUUUGGAAGAAACCCGAAAAGCUCACAUUGCAGCCACAUCUUCCACUGCACUACUUGCUGCCACAGAAAAAGCUUCAGCAGUAGCUCAACAAUCCAUCUCACACAACACAAGUAUUCGCAAUCGAUCCGGUUAUGAUCAGCAACAAAACCACAUAGGAGGCCGUGGAUAGUAGGCUCGCGGUGGAGGAAAAUCAGGUAGAGGAGGGCGUGGACGUGGGAAAAAUUUUGGUCAGGGUAAUUACUUUUAUAUACAAACUCCUUGUAAUGGUUAGAACUCUAAUGGUUGGAAUCCUACUUGGCAACAACAACAACAGUGGAAAGCCCCUCCUGCACCAUAUCCAACCACACCAGGUAACAGGCACCCUAACCAAAACACAUUUGCAGGUGUUCUUGGCAGCCCACCUUUUGGUUAUGCAGAAUCAUAUACACCAACAAACAUCGAGCAGGCUAUGCACACAAUGACUCUCAAUCCUGAUCAGAAUUGGUAUUUGGACUUCGGGGCUACAAAUCAUAUGUCAAACAAUAAAGGACUUUCAGACGCGGAUUCCUAUCCUCCGAUGUAAUAGCACAAGAGAUCUCUAUCCUUUAUCAUCGUCGUCUACGCAAGUCACUCCUUCCAGUUUUGCUGCCCUGUCUCAAGACCUAUGGCAUCCCCACUUAGGGCAUCCUAGUUCAUCAUUAUUGCGUGUUUUGAAUAAGAACAACUUUAUUUCUAUUGGCAGAUUUUCCGAUAAACAUUUAUGUCAAUCUUGUGUGUUUGGUAAACAUAUUAAAUUGCCUUUCUAUA
Molecule: long non-coding RNA, 2091 nt
Organism: Lactuca sativa (garden lettuce)
Lineage: Eukaryota; Viridiplantae; Streptophyta; Magnoliopsida; Asterales; Asteraceae
Source: RefSeq, a predicted model, not a curated record